Molecule: ribosomal RNA, 326 nt
Filed under: Pseudo-nitzschia fraudulenta
Lineage: Eukaryota; Bacillariophyta; Bacillariophyceae; Bacillariales; Bacillariaceae
Description: partial large subunit ribosomal RNA
Rfam family: Eukaryotic large subunit ribosomal RNA
Source: RNAcentral
AGAGGGUGAAACUCCCGUCCGCCUGGUAGAAUGAGUCUUUGUCAACGAGUCGGGGUUGUUUGGGAUUGCAGCUCUAAUUUGGUGGUAAAUUCCAUCUAAAGCUAAAUAUUGGGUGGGAGACCGAUAGCGUACAAGUACCGUGAGGGAAAGAUGCAAAGAACUUUGAAAAGAGAGUUAAAGAGUACCUGAAAUUAGCUGAAACGGAAGCGUAAGGAAACCAGUGUUUUAGUUGGUUUCAUAUUUCCUUGGGCCACUUGUGGUUUGGGCGCUGUGAGCUUGCGUGGGUUUGGGUUGGUUGAUCCCUUUGGAAGAGCGCAGUCAGAGUU